GGGGUUGUGGCUCAACGGUAGAGCUCUCGCCUCUCAUGUGUGAGGCUUUGGAUUUGAUCCUCAGCACCCCA
RNAcentral lists this transfer RNA (71 nucleotides) under Ictidomys tridecemlineatus (thirteen-lined ground squirrel). RNAcentral describes it as "Spermophilus tridecemlineatus (thirteen-lined ground squirrel) tRNA". It matches the Rfam family "tRNA". Rfam says of the family: Transfer RNA (tRNA) molecules are approximately 80 nucleotides in length. Their secondary structure includes four short double-helical elements and three loops (D, anti-codon, and T loops). The record is from Rfam by way of RNAcentral. Lineage: Eukaryota; Metazoa; Chordata; Mammalia; Rodentia; Sciuridae.